UGUUUAUGUCAAUAUUUUUCUUAUCAUAUCAAUAUACGAAGUGGAAAUUAGAACUGUGCAUUAUAUAGAGACGAUCGACCAGUUUUAUGACCAAUUUGGUAAUUAUUUGAACUUCCCACAGAAUCCUUUCUGCCUGGCAGUUUUUACGACAAAUUUGUCAUAUAUCAAUACACUAAAAAAUUGGAAUGAUAAUUACUUGUGCAAACAAGCAGUCAAUCAUAAAGUCAUAUUUUGUUGAUAUUCUUCUGUAUAUUUUUUUCAUGGCCCCUUUCUUCAGCCUUAAUUAACACCCUGAGAGUUAUAUACUUCGAUUUAAUGCAUAACUAUUUCGAUAUAUUUUUUCAUAACAUUCCAGAAAUUAUAUUUAAAAAACGAUCCAAUCCUCUGAUAAUAAAAGUACGCUUCUCAAAAAGUCCCCUUCUUGUGCCUCAAUUUACAUCUCCUUUCAUUUAAUGCAUACUUAUUUAAAAAUAAAAUAAUUAAAACAUACUGGCUUUGACACCUCUAUGGAUCUUUCCAAAAAAUGUCUCAACGUUCUUGUGUCAUACUGUACAUCUCGAUAGCUAUAUUUUUCUUUCCUGUGCAUGCAUAUAUCAUAUAUUGAAAGAGGGUUGCUGCUCACAAGGAAGCUAUGAAACCAAAAGUUCCAAAUGGUGAAGUUGAAACAUCCCUUGUAAAUUUUUACGGACGCCAAUCAACGAGUUGGUUGACCGUUAUGGAAUAACCGUUUCACAAAAGAUAUCGGAUAUGUUCCUCACGUCGUAACUACAAUCCCCUUCCCUUUCAUGAAUGUAACCUACCGAAUUAGACUAUUUACCGGAUUUGUUAUAAUAUAAGCAACAUGACGGGUGCCACAUGUGGAGCAGGAUCUGCUUACCCUCCGGAGCACCUGAGAUCACCCCUAAUUUUUUUAUUUUUUUUGGUGGCUUUCGUGUUGUUUAUUCUUUAGUUUUCUAUGUUGUGUCAUGUGUGCUGUUGUUUGUUUGUCUUUUUCAUUUUUAGCCAUGGUGUUGUCAGUUUGUUUUAGAUUUGUGAGUUUGACUGUUCCUUUGGUAUCUUUCGUCCCUCUUUUAUAACGAUAUAUUUUUUGCAUCAUACCAUAUCGGUAAUUUGAUUUAAAAAAAUUACCAAUCUGCUGAUAAAGUACAACUUUCUUAAUGUACCUUCUUGUGCCUCAAUUAACGCUUAAUGUCACUGUCAUUUUUUCCAUAUCAAUACACUGGAAUUGGAAAUGUACAUUAAAAGAAUACAAUAAAGAUCAUUUUCUGCGGCAAUCGCAAACAAAAUUACCAUUCUUCUGAUAAAGUACAUUCAAAGAAUAUCCCAAAGUCCCCUUAUUGCGCCUCAACUUGCAUCUCCAAGAACUAUAUAUCACGGCCAUUUUUCUCCAUAUCAAUACACUGGAAUUGGAAAUGUACAUUAAAAGAAUAAAAUAAAGAUCAUCUUCUGCGGCAAUUGUAUAAUGACGCCUUGUUGUCUGACACUAGAUUUAUUGACUGUUCAACAUUAUCAUGAUCGGGACCAUAAUCACUUUUUUAGCUACAGCCAACUGUCAUGGCUGUGAGAGAAUCAAUGUUUAUUGUUCUCUAGAGCUGUUUAGGACUUUGUAGAAAUGUAUCAGCCUAAAUGGAAUAAUGGAAAUGCCCUCGUUAUUGUAAUUGCAACACAUGUCAUUGCAAAACAUAUUGAUGCAUUUUAUAAGUGAGGAAUACAACCGCUCUACACGUUACUUUUAGAUACAACUAAAUGAUAUAAGAUCAUUUAAUACAAAUUUGAUUGUUCUGUCAGCCUAUAUUGAACACUUUUUAAAUAAAGGUUGAUUUUUUUCCUUUCAAGCAUUUUCUUUUUUUGUUCUCUUUCCGAAGAGAAUAAUACAUUUUUACCGCGGUUUUUGUGCGUGUGUUUGGUUGGUUUUUUUUUUUUUUUUUUUGGCUAGGGCUGGGGAUGGUGGUGCAAAGUUGUUAUAGUAACAAGUUUAUUGUCGAAACGAUUGACUAUUAUAUUUGGGCAAUCCGACUAGUCCACAGUUUAUUUGCAAGCAUUAGUGUGUCUUACGUCAGCGAAUUACGCGUACACGUAAACCAUCACUUAUAGAUUUCAUAUAUUUUCAAAUCACAAAAGCAUUAUAUCAACAAGCACAGCAUGGUUUCAGGACGGCUGAGGGAGAUGUCUAAGAACGGCUACGAUGCCAGCUAAUAAUUUAAAGACUACUUUAGAAGCAUGUGAAACCAUCACUUUGAACUGAAAACCCCGCAUGUAUAGUCUUAUAUUUUCUUUUGUCUAGACGUCCGGUCACAGAAAGGACACGUACACCAUUAGAUCCACUAAUUAUGAACAGAGGCAGGUUGGGUGCUUAAAGUUGUUUUAUGUAGAUUCUCAAAAUUCAGUGAAAUAAAUCAAAAACUUUAUGAAUAAUAAUAGACGCAAUUUAUUAUGUGUUGAAGCUUAAAACGCGUUUUUUUUCAAACAUUACAAUUAGAGGUAUGCAAGUGACUGCUUUGGCUUUCUAAUCUAGCUU
Molecule: long non-coding RNA, 2518 nt
Filed under: Mytilus galloprovincialis (Mediterranean mussel)
Lineage: Eukaryota; Metazoa; Mollusca; Bivalvia; Mytilida; Mytilidae
Source: RNAcentral